RNAcentral lists this ribosomal RNA (807 nucleotides) under uncultured bacterium. Its description in RNAcentral is "bacterial SSU rRNA". It matches the Rfam family "Bacterial small subunit ribosomal RNA", at positions 545 to 1353 of the family's 1533-position model. The record is from RNAcentral.
UCGGAUUUACUGGGCGUAAAGGGCACGUAGGCGGUUAAGCGUGUCGAGUGUGAAAUCUCCGGGCUCAACCCGGAAAGUGCGCUCGAAACUACUUGACUAGAGUACGGGAGAGGGAAUCGGAAUAUAGGGUGUAGCGGUGAAAUGCGUUGAUAUCCUAUAGAACACCGGAGGCGAAGGCGGAUUCCUGGAACGUAACUGACGCUAAGGUGCGAAAGUCGGGGGAGCAAACAGGAUUAGAUACCCUGGGGACCCGACCUUAAACGGUGCAUACUCGCGGUUGGGGGAUUUCACCCCUCCAGUCGCUUAGCUAACGCGUUAAGUACGCCGCCUGGGGAGUACGGCCGCAAGGCUAAAACUCAAAGAAAUUGACGGGGGCCCGCACAAGCAGAGGAGCAUGUGGCUUAAUUCGAUGCAACGCGAAGAACCUUACCUGGAUUUGACAUGUAUCUGCACGGCUUAUGAAAGUAGGCUUCCUUCGAGGGUGAUACACAGGUGCUGCAUGGCUGUCGUCAGUUCGUGCCGUGAGGUGUUUGGUUAAGUCCACCAACGAACGCAACCCCUAUGAUCCGUUGCCAUCGGGUAAUGCCGGGAACUCAGAUCACACUGCCUGUUUACGCAGGAGGAAGGUGGGGAUGACGUCAAGUCAGUAUGGCCCUUACAUCCAGGGCUGCACACGUGCUACAAUGGCUGGUACAGAGCGAUGCGAGACCGCAAGGUGGAGCAAACCGCAUAGAGCCAGCCUCAGUUCGGAUUGGGGUCUGCAACUCGACCCCAUGAAGUCGGAUUUGCUAGUAACGGCGUAUCAGC